CAAGUCGUGGGGCAGCGCAGUGUAGCAAUACAUGGGCGGCGACCGGCAAACGGGUGCGGAACACGUACGCAACCUUCCUUUAAGCGGGGAAUAGCUUUCGGAAACGAAAAUUAAUACCCCAUAAGAUUGUUGGAUGGCAUCAUCUGGCAAUUAAAGCUCCGGCACUUAAAGAUGGGCGUGCGGCUGAUUAGGUAGUUGGCGGGGUAACGGCCCACCAAGCCUACGAUCAGUAACUGGUGUGAGAGCACGACCAGUCACACGGGCACUGAGACACGGGCCCGACUCCUACGGGAGGCAGCAGUAAGGAAUAUUGGUCAAUGGACGCAAGUCUGAACCAGCCAUGCCGCGUGGAGGAUGAAGGUCCUCUGGAUUGUAAACUUCUUUUAUCUGAGAAGAAACCCACUGAUUCUUCGGUGGUUGACGGUACCAGAUGAAUAAGCACCGGCUAACUCCGUGCCAGCAGCCGCGGUAAUACGGAGGGUGCAAGCGUUAUCCGGAUUCACUGGGUUUAAAGGGUGCGUAGGUGGGUUGGUAAGUCCGUGGUGAAAUCUCCGAGCUUAACUCGGAAACUGCCGUGGAUACUAUCAAUCUUGAAUAUCGUUGAGGUAAGCGGAAUAUGUCAUGUAGCGGUGAAAUGCUUAGAUAUGACAUAGAACACCGAUAGCGGAGGCAGCUUACUAAGCGAUUAUUGACACUGAGGCACGAAAGCGUGGGGAUCAAACAGGAUUAGAUACCCUGGUAGUCCACGCCCUAAACGAUGGAUACUCGACAUACGCGAUACACAGUGUGUGUCUGAGCGAAAGCAUUAAGUAUCCCACCUGG
This 822-nucleotide ribosomal RNA is filed under the name uncultured Sphingobacteriia bacterium. RNAcentral's name for it is "bacterial SSU rRNA". It matches the Rfam family "Bacterial small subunit ribosomal RNA", at positions 58 to 876 of the family's 1533-position model. Lineage: Bacteria; Pseudomonadati; Bacteroidota; Sphingobacteriia. The record is from RNAcentral.